Molecule: ribosomal RNA, 253 nt
Filed under: uncultured bacterium
Lineage: Bacteria
Description: partial 16S ribosomal RNA
Rfam family: Bacterial small subunit ribosomal RNA
Source: RNAcentral
UACGGGGGGGGCAAGCGUUGUUCGGAAUUACUGGGCGUAAAGGGCUCGUAGGCGGCCAACUAAGUCAGACGUGAAAUCCCUCGGCUUAACCGGGGAACUGCGUCUGAUACUGGUUGGCUUGAGUGUGGGAGAGGGAUGCGGAAUUCCAGGUGUAGCGGUGAAAUGCGUAGAUAUCUGGAGGAACACCGGUGGCGAAGGCGGCAUCCUGGACCAUUACUGACGCUGAGGAGCGAAAGCCAGGGGAGUAAACGGG